AAUAAUCAAGAAUGAUAAAUAAAAAGAAUUGGAUAAUUCUUUAUUAUCAGUGAUUUGGUGAAAAAAGUUGGUAGUAAUACAGUGUAUGAGUUAUAAACUAUCAAUUCCUGUGGUACUCUCCAUUGAAUUUAAGACGAAGUGCCUGUAAAAAGAAAAUUAGUGAUGUAAGGGAGACUUACCAGCGUUCUUUUCCACACCUUUGAUAACGCAAGCUCUGGUAUUCUGCUUAGCUUUCUGUCUUAUAGUGACGGUAACAUCGUAAUUAUUCUGAACGUCGGCUAACUGAUCAGGUCUGGUCCUCAAACUACCACUUUCUUCCGGUAAAUCGAAAAUAAUUAUCAACGGAAGACUACCCAACAGCAACUGUCUAGCUUUAUAAACGUCGUGGAUAUUUCCGGAGAUGUUGACGUUGCUCUUCUUCAAAUUCGGAAUAUUCGGAUCCUGAGCAUCGGGAAACAUAAUUUGGCAGUUGGUAUAUUUCAUAAUCUGUUUGAGAUUAGAGUGAUUCUUGCCCAAGACGACUUGGUGAUGGUGAGGGGAUAUUUCCAUAGACAUUUGUACGGGAAUUUGAUUCUGGAAAGGAUUUUAUUUAUCCGAAGGAACGUAAAUUAUUAUGAAAAAUAAUAAUUUACCGCUAAACUUUCGCACAUGUAUUCCAUGAGUAAAAUGGUCGCUUGUUUCACUUGAUCAACUUCCCAUUCGACUCCUUUUACCAAAACUAAAGUAGCGUGGAGUUUCGGUCUGGUUUUGAACAUGACUUGAACUUUGUACUGUUCUUGAAUCUUAACGAUAUACGUAGAUGUGGCAUCGAUGUUUUGCGUCAUUAUAGGUAACUCGAAACCGAAAAUCAAAGGUAUCAAUUCCUGUGGGAGAAACAUUUUUUUCAUAUAAAAUGGUCACCCUUCGAAGAGGUCGAAUUGGAUUGGUGAAAAAUGGAAAAGGCACACAUCACAUCACCCUGUAUAAUAUGUUACGUUACGAUAAAUUCAAAAACUAGCUGAAAAUAUUGGAGAAUUAGCUAGAAAAACUCAACAAUAAGAUAUAAAACUCAAAAAAUAGCUAGAAAAAUUCAAAAAUUAGCUACAAAGCUCAAAAAUUACUUAGAAAACUCAAACAAUUGGUAGAAAACUGAAAACUUUGCUGGAAAAAAAUAAAAAAUUGGUUAUAAAAACUUAAAAAAGCUAUAAAACCCAAAAAUUGGCUAGAGAUACUGGAAUUACCUAGAAAAACUCAAAACUCUGCUGGAAAAAUUCGAAAAUUCAAAA
Molecule: long non-coding RNA, 1265 nt
Organism: Diorhabda carinulata
Lineage: Eukaryota; Metazoa; Arthropoda; Insecta; Coleoptera; Chrysomelidae
Exons: 2
Source: RefSeq, a predicted model, not a curated record